This 497-nucleotide ribosomal RNA is filed under the name uncultured bacterium. RNAcentral's name for it is "partial 16S ribosomal RNA". It matches the Rfam family "Bacterial small subunit ribosomal RNA", at positions 28 to 507 of the family's 1533-position model. The record is from RNAcentral.
GAUGAACGCUGGCGGCGUGCCUAAUACAUGCAAGUCGAGCGAACGGACGAGAAGCUUGCUUCUCUGAUGUUAGCGGCGGACGGGUGAGUAACACGUGGAUAACCUACCUAUAAGACUGGGAUAACUUCGGGAAACCGGAGCUAAUACCGGAUAAUAUUUUGAACCGCAUGGUUCAAAAGUGAAAGACGGUCUUGCUGUCACUUAUAGAUGGAUCCGCGCUGCAUUAGCUAGUUGGUAAGGUAACGACUUACCAAGGCAACGAUGCAUAGCCGACCUGAGAGGGUGAUCGGCCACACUGGAACUGAGACACGGUCCAGACUCCUACGGGAGGCAGCAGUAGGGAAUCUUCCGCAAUGGGCGAAAGCCUGACGGAGCAACGCCGCGUGAGUGAUGAAGGUCUUCGGAUCGUAAAACUCUGUUAUUAGGGAAGAACAUAUGUGUAAGUAACUGUGCACAUCUUGACGGCACCUAAUCAGAAAGCCACGGCUAACUACGUG